Molecule: ribosomal RNA, 399 nt
Filed under: uncultured bacterium
Lineage: Bacteria
Description: bacterial SSU rRNA
Rfam family: Bacterial small subunit ribosomal RNA
Source: RNAcentral
GGGAAUAUUGGACAAUGGGCGCAAGCCUGAUCCAGCAAUGCCGCGUGGGUGAAGAAGGUUUUCGGAUUGUAAAGCCCUUUCGGCGGGGACGAUGGUGACGGCAGCCGCAGAAGAAGCUCCGGCCAACUUCGUGCCAGCAGCCGCGGUAAUACGAAGGGGGCCAGCGUUGCUCGGGAUUACUGGGCGUCAAGGGCGCGGAGGCGGUUGGUACAGUCAGAUGUGAAAUUCCUGGGCUUAACCUGGGGGCUGCAUUUGAUACGUGCUGGCUUGAGUGGGGAAGAGGGUCGUGGAAUUCCCAGUGUAGAGGUGAAAUUCGUAGAUAUUGGGAAGAACACCGGUGGCGAAGGCGGCGACCUGGUCCUUGACUGACGCUGAGGCGCGAAAGCGUGGGGAGCAAAC